GGAGAGGUGGCCGAGUGGUUGAAGGCGCACGAUUGGAAGUCGUGUGAGGGUCAAACCUCCCAGGGUUCGAAUCCCUGCCUCUCCG
This 85-nucleotide transfer RNA is filed under the name Candidatus Omnitrophota bacterium. RNAcentral's name for it is "Candidatus Omnitrophica bacterium (sediment metagenome) tRNA-Ser". It matches the Rfam family "tRNA". From Rfam's summary of the family: Transfer RNA (tRNA) molecules are approximately 80 nucleotides in length. The record is from RNAcentral. Lineage: Bacteria; Pseudomonadati; Candidatus Omnitrophota.